AGAAGGGGUCAAUACCCCCUUUGAUGACGGUACUAUUUGUAAGCUCCGGCUAACUCCGUGCCAGCAGCCGCGGUAAUACGGGGGGAGCAAGCGUUGUUCGGAUUUACUGGGCGUAAAGGGCGCGUAGGCGGCCACAACAAGUCACUUGUGAAAUCUCCGGGCUUAACCCGGCAGCGGUCAAGUGAUACUGUUGGGCUAGAGUGCGGAAGGGGCAACUGGAAUUCUCGGUGUAGCGGUGAAAUGCGUAGAUAUCGAGAGGAACACCUGCGGCGAAGGCGGGUUGCUGGGCCGACACUGACGCUGAGGCGCGAAAGCUAGGGGAGCGAACGGGAUUAGAUACCCCGGUAGUCCUAGCCUUAAACGAUGGAUGCUUGGUGUCUGGGGUGAUAAAGUCCCCGGGUGCCGUCGCUAACGCUUUUAGCAUCCCGCCUGGGGAGUACGGUCGCAAGACUGAAACUCAAAGGAAUUGACGGGGACCCGCACAAGCGGUGGAGCAUGUGGUUUAAUUCGACGCAACGCGAAGANCUCUUACCUGGGCUAGAAUGCCCCUGACAGCCUCGGAGACGAGGUCUCCCAUGGAAACAUGGGCGGGGAGCAAGGUGCUGCAUGGCU
This 612-nucleotide ribosomal RNA is filed under the name uncultured Acidobacteriaceae bacterium. RNAcentral's name for it is "bacterial SSU rRNA". It matches the Rfam family "Bacterial small subunit ribosomal RNA", at positions 447 to 1050 of the family's 1533-position model. Lineage: Bacteria; Pseudomonadati; Acidobacteriota; Terriglobia; Terriglobales; Acidobacteriaceae. The record is from RNAcentral.